RNAcentral lists this ribosomal RNA (254 nucleotides) under uncultured bacterium. RNAcentral's name for it is "partial 16S ribosomal RNA". It matches the Rfam family "Bacterial small subunit ribosomal RNA", at positions 524 to 776 of the family's 1533-position model. The record is from RNAcentral.
UACGUAGGGUGCAAGCGUUUGUCCGGAAUUAUUGGGCGUAAAGAGCUCGUAGGCGGCUUGUCGCGUCGGCUGUGAAAACCUGGGGCUCAACCCCGGGCCUGCAGCCGAUACGGGCAAGCUAGAGUUCGGUAGGGGAGACUGGAAUUCCUGGUGUAGCGGUGAAAUGCGCAGAUAUCAGGAGGAACACCGGUGGCGAAGGCGGGUCUCUGGGCCGAUACUGACGCUGAGGAGCGAAAGCAUGGGUAGCGAACAGG